CCAGCAGCCGCGGUAAGACAGAGGUGCCAAGCGUUAGGCGGAAUCACUGGGCUUAAAGCGUGUGUAGGUGGAUGUCUAAGUACCUUGUGAAAUCCCACGGCUCAACCGUGGAACUGCUUGGUAUACUGGAUGUCUUGAGCCACUUAGGGGCUACCGGAACAAAUGGUGGAGCGGUGAAAUGCGUAGAUAUCAUUUGGAACGCCAAUGGAGAAAACAGGUAGCUGGGAGUGUGCUGACACUGAGACACGAAAGCCAGGGGAGCGAACGGGAUUAGAUACCCCGGUAGUCCUGGCCGUAAACGAUGUCCACUAGAUCGUGGUGGCUCUGACGCCAUCAUGGUCGAAGCAAAAGUGCUAAGUGGACCGCCUGGGAAGUACGGUCGCAAGGCUAAAACUCAAAGGAAUUGACGGGGGCUCACACAAGCGGUGGAGCAUGUGGUUCAAUUCGAAGCAACGCGCAGAACCUUACCUGGGCUUGACAUGCUAGGAUUAUCCCUAUGAAAGUAGGGUAGGCCCUUCGUGGUACAACUAGUACAGGUGCUGCAUGGCUGUCGUCAGCUCGUGUCGUGAGAUGUCGGGUUAAGUCCCUUAACGAGCGAACCUUUGCCCUUAGUUACCAGCGAGUAAAGUCGGGGACUCUAAGGGGACUGCCGGUGUCAAACCGGAGGAAGGUGGAGAUGACGUCAAGUCCUCAUGGCCUUUAUGCCCAGGGCCACACACGUGCUACAAUGGCGUUCACAAAGCGACCCUAAAGCGCGAGCUCAUGGAAAUCGCAGAAAUAACGCCCCAGUUCAGAUAGGAGGCUGCAACUCGCCUC
Molecule: ribosomal RNA, 816 nt
Filed under: uncultured Planctomycetia bacterium
Lineage: Bacteria; Pseudomonadati; Planctomycetota; Planctomycetia
Description: bacterial SSU rRNA
Rfam family: Bacterial small subunit ribosomal RNA
Source: RNAcentral